CCUACGGGUGGCAGCAGUGAGGAAUAUUGGUCAAUGGGCACGAGCCUGAACCAGCCAAGUAGCGUGAAGGAUGACGGCCCUACGGGUUGUAAACUUCUUUUAUAAAGGAAUAAAGUGAGGCACGUGUGCCUUUUUGUAUGUAUGUUAUGAAUAGGGAUAGGCUAACUCCGUGCCAGCAGCCGCGGUAAGACGGAGGAUCCGAGCGUUCUCCGGAUUUAUUGGGUUUACAGGGAGCGUAGAGGGGUUGUUAAGUCAGUUGUGAACGUUUGCGGCUCAACCGUAAAAUUGCAAUUGAUACUGGCAGCCUUGAGUACAGUUGAGGUAGGCCGAAUUCGUGGUGUAGCGGUGCAAUUCUUAGAUAUCACGAAGAACUCCGAUUGCGACGGCAGCCUACUAAACUGCCACUGACAUUGAUGCUCGAAAGUGUGGGUAUCAAACAGGAUUAGAUACCCUUGUAGUC
RNAcentral lists this ribosomal RNA (460 nucleotides) under uncultured bacterium. RNAcentral describes it as "partial 16S ribosomal RNA". It matches the Rfam family "Bacterial small subunit ribosomal RNA", at positions 338 to 795 of the family's 1533-position model. The record is from RNAcentral.